UGCACAAUGGGGGAAACCCUGAUGCAGCCAUGCCGCGUGUGUGAAGAAGGCCUUCGGGUUGUAAAGCACUUUCAGCGAGGAGGAAAGGUCAGUAGCUAAUAUCUGCUGGCUGUGACGUUACUCGCAGAUGAAGCACCGGCUAACUCCGUGCCAGCAGCCGCGGUAAUAAUCC
This 172-nucleotide ribosomal RNA is filed under the name uncultured bacterium. RNAcentral describes it as "partial 16S ribosomal RNA". It matches the Rfam family "Bacterial small subunit ribosomal RNA", at positions 365 to 526 of the family's 1533-position model. The record is from RNAcentral.